Molecule: ribosomal RNA, 610 nt
Filed under: uncultured bacterium
Lineage: Bacteria
Description: bacterial SSU rRNA
Rfam family: Bacterial small subunit ribosomal RNA (bases 1-519)
Source: RNAcentral
CCUACGGGAGGCAGCAGUGGGGAAUAUUGGACAAUGGGCGAAAGCCUGAUCCAGCAAUGCCGCGUGAGUGAUGAAGGCCUUAGGGUUGUAAAGCUCUUUUACCAGGGAUGAUAAUGACAGUACCUGGAGAAUAAGCUCCGGCUAACUCCGUGCCAGCAGCCGCGGUAAUACGGAGGGAGCUAGCGUUGUUCGGAAUUACUGGGCGUAAAGCGUACGUAGGCGGUUAUUCAAGUCAGAGGUGAAAGCCUGGAGCUCAACUCCAGAACUGCCUUUGAAACUAGAUAGCUAGAAUCUUGGAGAGGUGAGUGGAAUUCCGAGUGUAGAGGUGAAAUUCGUAGAUAUUCGGAAGAACACCAGUGGCGAAGGCGACUCACUGGACAAGUAUUGACGCUGAGGUACGAAAGCGUGGGGAGCAAACAGGAUUAGAUACCCUGGUAGUCCACGCCGUAAACGAUGAUAACUAGCUGUUCGGGCUCUACGAGCUUGAGUGGCGCAGACUACGACAUUAAGUUAUCCGUCCGUCGGGAGGUACGGUCGCGAAGAAUUAAACUAACGAAAGGAAGUUAGUACGGACGUGAGACGUGCCGACGGACGACGACGAGGGAGGAGG